UACCACACAACAACACGCAUUCCAAGUUCAAUCAUACGAGCAAACAAUCCUUUAGUUAGAACAGUACACCAACAGAUCAAAAAUGAAAUAAAGUAUUUAAAAACAGAACCUACGUUACGCUACGAUCACAUAGAUACGAAGAUCACAAAAAUCAGAGCUAAAACGACCAAGUUACGAAUUUACGGUGAUUUCCUAUAGGCAUUUAAUUAAUUAAACCUAACCCUGAAAAUAAAAAGUGGCAAACUACAGAAACAGUAGUACUAUCAUGUAGAGAAUUUAAUUACGAACCUAACGCAAUUUGAACGGGUCAAUUCGGAGCUAUAACGAAUAUUUUAUGGCUAAAACAAUUUCAGUGGCAAUUUUGUAAUGUCCUGAAAGCGUAUUUUGACCUAACCGACAGAUAAUACGCUUUCUAAAAGACAAAGCGUAAUUUACGAAAUGUGCUAAGGACUGCGGGCACAAAAACUAAAUUCCAGGGGGACUCUUUAGCAAAACUGACCCGCGAAGGGGUACGGGGUGCCCUGGACCGUUGAUCCCCCGAUGAACGACCAGGAUUAGAAGGGGGAAGGGGAGAGAGGAAGGGCUCGCUGGCCGGCCGGCCGGAGCAAGGCCUCAGCGGCGGCGCCAUGGCCGGGAGAUCGCC
Molecule: long non-coding RNA, 643 nt
Filed under: Sorghum bicolor (sorghum)
Lineage: Eukaryota; Viridiplantae; Streptophyta; Magnoliopsida; Poales; Poaceae
Description: long non-coding RNA (SBIC_LNC002405)
Source: RNAcentral